Molecule: ribosomal RNA, 389 nt
Filed under: uncultured bacterium
Lineage: Bacteria
Description: bacterial SSU rRNA
Rfam family: Bacterial small subunit ribosomal RNA
Source: RNAcentral
CGAACGCUGGCGGCGUGCUUAACACAUGCAAGUCGAGCGGUAAGGCCCUUUCGGGGGUACACGAGCGGCGAACGGGUGAGUAACACGUGGGUGACCUGCCCUUAGCUCUGGGAUAAGCCUGGGAAACUGGGUCUAAUAACCGGAUAUGACUCCAUGACGCAUGUUGUGGGGUGGAAAGCCUUGUGCGGCUAGGGAUGGGCCCGCGGCCUAUCAGCUUGUUGGUGGGGUGAUGGCCACCAAGGCGACGACGGGUAGCCGGCCUGAGAGGGCGACCGGCCACACUGGGACUGAGACACGGCCCAGACUCCUACGGGAGGCAGCAGUGGGGAAUCUUGCGCAAUGGGCGAAAGCCUGACGCAGCGACGCCGCGUGAGGGAUGACGGCCUGGU